RNAcentral lists this transfer RNA (72 nucleotides) under Linnaea borealis. Its description in RNAcentral is "tRNA-Gln". It matches the Rfam family "tRNA". Rfam says of the family: Transfer RNA (tRNA) molecules are approximately 80 nucleotides in length. Their secondary structure includes four short double-helical elements and three loops (D, anti-codon, and T loops). The record is from RNAcentral. RNAcentral also lists the same sequence under 31 other names. Lineage: Eukaryota; Viridiplantae; Streptophyta; Magnoliopsida; Dipsacales; Caprifoliaceae.
UGGGGCGUCGCCAAGUGGUAAGGCAACGGGUUUUGGUCCCGCUAUUCGGAGGUUCGAAUCCUUUCGUCCCAG